Molecule: ribosomal RNA, 486 nt
Filed under: Gemella morbillorum
Lineage: Bacteria; Bacillati; Bacillota; Bacilli; Caryophanales; Gemellaceae
Description: bacterial SSU rRNA
Rfam family: Bacterial small subunit ribosomal RNA
Source: RNAcentral
GACGAACGCUGGCGGCGCGCCUAAUACAUGCAAGUCGAGCGAAGUUUUUCUGGUGCUUGCACUAGAAAAACUUAGCGGCGAACGGGUGAGUAACACGUAAAGAACCUGCCUCAUAGACUGGGACAACUAUUGGAAACGAUAGCUAAUACCGGAUAACAGCAUUAACUGCAUGGUUGAUGUUUGAAAGUUGGUUUUGCUAACACUAUGAGAUGGCUUUGCGGUGCAUUAGCUAGUUGGUGGGGUAAAAGCCUACCAAGGCGACGAUGCAUAGCCGACCUGAGAGGGUGAUCGGCCACACUGGGACUGAGACACGGCCCAGACUCCUACGGGAGGCAGCAGUAGGGAAUCUUCCGCAAUGGGCGAAAGCCUGACGGAGCAACGCCGCGUGAGUGAAGAAGGAUUUCGAUUCGUAAAGCUCUGUUGUUAGGGAAGAAUGAUUAUGUAGUAACUAUACAUAGUAGAGACGGUACCUAACCAGAAAGCCAC